Silurus meridionalis is the source of this 678-nucleotide long non-coding RNA. RefSeq lists it as uncharacterized. Lineage: Eukaryota; Metazoa; Chordata; Actinopteri; Siluriformes; Siluridae. The record is from RefSeq and is a predicted model, not a curated record. The transcript has 5 exons.
CUCUACUCAUAUCAGACCUGACUGAAGAGGACCAGGGAAACUACAGAUGUUCUGUACAGGCUGAUCACAGAGAUCUGAGACUGUCUGUUAAAGGAAGAAGAGAAACUUCAACACAAUCGAGAAAUACAGACAAAAUCUCACCAACCUCACCACCUGCAUCAACAAAAGUUUUUGGCAUUGUGGCAGUUUUACUCUUGGUGAUACCUGGUUUAGUGGCAUUUAUUUGUUGGAAACACAGAGGAAGAAGAAGUGGAGAGAAUUUGAUUACUGAAGAAUGUCCAGAUCGUAAAGUAAAGCAGAAAGAUCGGACUGUACCUGAUGUUACUUACUCUACUGUAUCCCAUGUGAACACAGCUGGAGCAGCACGGGUCCAGAUCAUCGAUGAAGACAAAACUGAAUACGCCUGCAUUAUAACAAACUAAUCCACAGGAAAAUUUAUAGAAUAAUGUUGAAAAUGUAUAGUAUGCUGAAAAAGGUUCUAAAAAUAAGUUCUAAGAUGCGAUACAUUUUAAUAUUGUUUUUUUUUUCUUUUUCUCAUGAUCACAAAUUAAUUUCCUCAUGAUUUCGAUAUAAAAUGCACCGGGGCUCCUCCACAUGCCCACACCCGCUGGCACGUGUAAAACUUUUUUUCGGCUUCCCCCAUUAGGGGUCGCCACAGCGGACCAUCCGCAUGUUUGA